AUGUCCAAGAUGGAGGAUGAUAAACCCAUUCUAAUAGACACUAAAAAGACUAGGAGGACUAGGAACACACGUCAUGUUGUACAUUCUGAUGAAGAAUCAGAAAAUCUGGAUAGUCAAGAGAAAGAUGAAUCCAUAUCUGUUGUUGAUAAGGAAUCUAAGAAAAGGAGAAUUCAAAAAGAUAGCCAUGAGCAAGCGGGCAAGUUAUCAGUUAUGAAAACUAUAAAGCAAGAACCAGAGGAUGAUGAACCCACUAUUAACCGGACUAAAAGGGGUAGGAGAAGUAGCACAGCUCAUGUUGUAGACCUUGAUGAAGAACCAAAAACUGAAGGUAGUCGGGAAAUAAUGAAAUCAAAAUCUAUGGAAGCAGGCCCCAAGAGGAAACGCGCCGUAACUCGCAAAUGUGCUGGUAUUGAUAACAAACAAGUAAACAAUCACCAUGAAGAAGAAUCAGAACAUGCAGGUACUCAGGAGCACAAUGAUUCAAGGCCUAGGACAAGGCGUAGUUGUGUCAACAAAGAAUUGAUGAGCAAAGGCAUUCAGAAGUGUGGUGUAUCAAGAACUCGAAAGUCAAAUCGUUGA
This 579-nucleotide ribosomal RNA is filed under the name Triticum aestivum (bread wheat). RNAcentral describes it as "partial small subunit ribosomal RNA". The record is from RNAcentral. Lineage: Eukaryota; Viridiplantae; Streptophyta; Magnoliopsida; Poales; Poaceae.